This 594-nucleotide ribosomal RNA is filed under the name uncultured marine bacterium. Its description in RNAcentral is "bacterial SSU rRNA". It matches the Rfam family "Bacterial small subunit ribosomal RNA", at positions 52 to 655 of the family's 1533-position model. The record is from RNAcentral.
UGCAUGCAAGUCGAGCGAAGCUUUUCAGUAGUUUACUACAGAAAAUGACUGAGCGGCGAACGGGUGAGUAACGCGUGAGCAACCUACCUUAGUUACUGGGAUAGCCCGAGGAAACUCGGAUUAAUACCGGAUAUUCUUAUUUAAUCACAUGAUUUUUUAAGGAAAGGUCAGCCGAACUAAGAUGGGCUCGCGUUCUAUCAGCUAGUUGGUAGGGUAAUGGCCUACCAAGGCUACGACGGAUAGCUGGUCUGAGAGGACGAUCAGCCACACUGGGACUGAGACACGGCCCAGACUCCUACGGGAGGCUGCAGCAGGAAUAUUGCGCAAUGAGCGAAAGCUUGACGCAGCGACACCGCGUGUGGGAUGACGGAUCUAGGUUUGUAAACCACUUUCAGGAGGGAAGAAAAUGACGGUACCUCCACAAGAAGCCCCGGCCAACUACGUGCCAGCAGCCGCGGUAAUACGUAGGGGGCGAGCGUUGUCCGGAUUUAUUGGGCGUAAAGAGCUCGUAGGCGGUUCAACAAGUCGGUCGUGAAAGUUCAGGGCUCAACCCCGAAAUGUCGAUCGAUACUGUUGUGACUAGGAUACGGUAGA